Caenorhabditis elegans is the source of this 21-nucleotide non-coding RNA. NCBI's taxonomy places the organism in Eukaryota, Metazoa, Nematoda, Chromadorea, Rhabditida, Rhabditidae. The record is from Ensembl.
UAUUAAGUCCUGUAACUGAAA